GAUGAAGAACGUAGCGAAAUGCGAUAACUAAUGUGAAUUGCAGAAUUCAGUGAAUCAUCGAGUCUUUGAACGCACAUUGCGCCCCCUGGUAUUCCGGGGGGCAUGCCUGUCCGAGCGUCAUUGCUGCCCUCAAGCACGGCUUGUGUGUUGGGCCCCCGUCCCCGGUUUCCCCCGGGGACGGGCCCGAAAGGCAGCGGCGGCACCGCGUCCGGUCCUCGAGCGUAUGGGGCUUUGUCACCCGCUCUGUAGGCCCGGCCGGCGCCAGCCGACACCCAACUUUAUUUAAGGUUGACCUCGGAUCAGGUAGGGAUACCCGCUGAACUUAAGCAUAUCAAUAAGCGGAGGA
RNAcentral lists this unclassified non-coding RNA (346 nucleotides) under soil metagenome. RNAcentral's name for it is "partial contains 5.8S ribosomal RNA, internal transcribed spacer 2, and large subunit ribosomal RNA". The stretch from base 1 to 120 matches the Rfam family "5.8S ribosomal RNA", at positions 35 to 154 of the family's 154-position model. The record is from RNAcentral.